Molecule: ribosomal RNA, 605 nt
Filed under: uncultured bacterium
Lineage: Bacteria
Description: partial 16S ribosomal RNA
Rfam family: Bacterial small subunit ribosomal RNA
Source: RNAcentral
UACNGAAGUGGCGAGCGUUACUCGGAUUCAUUGGGUGUAAAGGGCAGGUANGCGGCUCUGUAAGUUGGGGGUGAAAUCCUUUGGCUCAACCAAAGAACUGCCUUCAAAACUACAGAGCUUGAGGACAGGAGAGGAGAGCGGAAUUCCCNGUGUNAGGGUGAAAUCUGUANAUAUCGGGAGGAACACCUGUGGCGAAAGCGGCUCUCUGGCUUGUCCCUGACGCUAAUCUGCGAAAGCUANGGUAGCAAACAGGAUUAGAUACCCUGGUAGUCCUANCCGUAAACGAUNANCACUAAGUGUUGGAAGUUUAACUUUCAGCGCCGUAAGAUAACUCGUUAAGUGCUCCACCUGGGGACUACNACCGCAAGGUUAAAACUCANAGGAAUUGACNGGGGCCCGCACAAGCNGUGGAACAUGUNGUUCAAUUCCACNCUACNCNAANAANCUCACCCCGGCUUGACAUGUUNGAAAUUAUGGANCCGAAACCCNACAAACUGUCCAUUCCUGAACCUGCCNGUUUUUCNUGCUGUCNUCACNCCUNUCCUGAAAUUUGGUUUANUCCCCCACAACNCACCAACANCUUAUUCUACUUUUUUCUGCAAACC